This 1064-nucleotide long non-coding RNA is filed under the name Homo sapiens (human). RNAcentral's name for it is "HSALNT0354594". The record is from RNAcentral. Lineage: Eukaryota; Metazoa; Chordata; Mammalia; Primates; Hominidae.
ACAGCCUGGGCUCAGAGGUAAUAAAUAAGGUGCCAAGGCCACACCUGUUCGGAGUGGAUGUUGAAGUCUGUGUUACUUCAGUUCUAUCUCCUAUUCCCAGUCCAUUCUGCAGAUGAGAAAACUGAGACCCACACAGUGUACAUGCUGAUCUUAAUGAGAAUGAUGACAAUAACGGGAGGAAAAAAAUGAGCAGAAACUGCUAACAUCUGGAGGCUGCUGUCCAGUUUACGUAAUCUCUUGCUGCAGAGGAGGAACACGGGAUCCCCAGCCAGAUGGUCCGUGGGUGACUUCACAGCACAUGUGCUACCUCCAAGACAGGGUUCUCUGAGGAACAAGGACCUUCCAGAGUGAUGCUUUUCCCUAGUGGCAGCCUUGGCCAGGGCAACAGACAUCUGCACAAACGCAGGGUGUUGAAGCAGCUGUUCUGAGAUGCAGUGCCUGAGAAUCUGGGAUCCACAAUGUGAACUUCUCAACAACCCCUGCACCUGCCACUUCCCUGAAUCUUCCACUAAGCACCAGAAGACACAUGCAUUUUAAAUCAAAGGAAUGUGAGUUGGAAUUUCAGCUUCUGCCAUUCACUGACAACAUGGCCUUGAACCCUUCAUAAACUCUAAUAUCUUCCACUGCAGAAUGAGAUGAUGGUACCUAUGUUGUAGCAUUGUGAGGAUUCAAAGAGCUCUUGCACAUGCAAAUAUUUAGAUACACCCUACUCACUAAAAAUACAAAAUUGACAUUUUCCUCCAUCACUUGCUGCUUCUUUCUUCCUGGCUGUAGAGGGACAUGGUUCUGGUUUCAAAUUCUAGACUUCCCUGUUCUACCACUGGGCUACCUGUAGAACUUGGGUAAGUGACCUAACCUUUGUGAGUCUUAAUUACAGUAGUUACCUCAUACAGUGGUUGACAGGUUUAAAUGUACAAAAAACAGUGUAGAGUUCUCUACAUAAUGUAAUCACUCUGACAGCCAAGCCAUUCUCUUUACUCUACUCAUCAUUAUCAAUUUCUGUGAUUACUAUUACAUUAUGGUUAUUACUGGUAUUUGUUGUUAUUGUGUAGUCCUUCCUUUUU